RNAcentral lists this long non-coding RNA (1469 nucleotides) under Zea mays. RNAcentral's name for it is "long non-coding RNA (ZMAY_LNC000163)". The record is from RNAcentral. Lineage: Eukaryota; Viridiplantae; Streptophyta; Magnoliopsida; Poales; Poaceae.
UCCAGUUCCAAACGACUGCACCAAAGAGUUGCUUCAUGAGGCCUCCCGGCGGCGUACUUGCUCCAGGGGAAAGUAUCAUAGCAACAGGUAACUGAAUUUGACACAAAUGAAUAAAUAUUAAUCGCUAGCUGUGGUGCUCGCAAGUUAUAACGACCUAUCCGUGCAUUCCCUUACAUCAAGUGCAGUCUUCUUCUCUGAAGCUUUGAUGCUACUACUUUUGAUCUCACAUUGCUGGUUUUGGGUGUGUGUGUGUGUGUGGCCAGACUCAGGAGCCACUGCGGCAGCAGCAGAUUCACUUCAAUGGGAAGGAGGUAGAACACAGAGAAGCUCAGUGCCGCUGGGGUCCCACCAGUGAAAGGUGCUCUUGCUGUUCUUCCUAGCGUAUGUAAAGGAGAUAAAUUCACAUGUACUAAAUAUAGUUGUGCCUUUUAUAUGAUAUGUUCUUGAGAAACUAAACACAAUUCCUGUCAUGUUGCUCAUCAAUGAUGUAACGCUUUCUGGAAGUACCAGGUGUUGCAUUAGGUAAAAUUGUCUAUUAGUUUUCUUGCACAAUAAAAGGGUUUAGCUUGUUACAACUAAAUCUCUACUAAUCCUUAAGGGUGGACGGAGGGUGUCCACAAGCCUCACCACGCCCCCGCCCGCGAUGUUGCGCCCCCUCUCUUGGGUAUGCUUGCCAUCCCCCCUCCUGUUUUUUUUCCUUUCGGAACCAUUGGUUACCGAGUAGCAUUGCAACUUUUGCUGGCUAAAGCCUGUGACGAUGAAUUCGCCCUUACCGUCACGAUUUCUUUCCAGUGUACGACGAAUCGAUCUGGGAGCGAUAUCAGUUUCUCGUUGCCAGUUGGCUAUGAUUUUUUUUCUUGUUGCACAUAAGUCAUGGCUCGUGGGUUGCCAUUUGAAAAAGGGUGUUUUUUUAUUCACUUGAAUUAUGUGUUGAUUUUCUGUUUCCUGUCACUGCCACCAGGAAAGCGAAGGAUGUGAUCAAGUCUGUGAAGAAGUGUAUAGGGAGCAGGAGCAAGACCACUCAACUCUUUACUGUUAUGGUGAGUUGUUUUCACAGAAGCAGCCCUCCUGGAUCCUGAUUCCACCAUCAACUAUUCAACUUGUGCGCUAUAGUUAUCUAGAUGACUAUGAUAGACACAUGAACACAUUUGUUCUUUAUUUGAUCAUGGAUCAUAGACAUGUAAAGAGGAAUGGUGACCUGUACUUUUUGCUCACGCAGCCAUCCACAAUGGAAAAGUCGAUGAAGGAAAAAAGAGCCUCUCUUGCUAAUGUUUACUGUUCAUUUGAUGUAAAAGGGGGCAUGGAAGUACUUCACACGUUUUCUUGUCUGCUGGGAUGAUUCUGUGCUUUAUUUAUGUCUUGAAUUUUUUAACUCUUAUUUUAGGUCUUGGUCCUGAUGUCACUGUACCUAAAUGGCCUAUCAUUUCUCAUCUUUUUUAAAUUAAUUAGCUCACAUUACAUAAUGUGCG